RNAcentral lists this ribosomal RNA (460 nucleotides) under uncultured bacterium. Its description in RNAcentral is "partial 16S ribosomal RNA". It matches the Rfam family "Bacterial small subunit ribosomal RNA", at positions 338 to 795 of the family's 1533-position model. The record is from RNAcentral.
CCUACGGGUGGCAGCAGUGAGGAAUAUUGGUCAAUGGCCGGAAGGCUGAACCAGCCAUGCCGCGUGAAGGUCAGUGCCCUAUGGGCGUUAAACUUCUUUUGUGCGGGAGCAAUAAUGGUCACGUGUGGCCAGACGAGAGUACCGUACGAAUAAGCAUCGGCUAACUCCGUGCCAGCAGCCGCGGUAAUACGGGGGAUGCAAGGGUUAUCCGGAUUUAUUGGGUUGAAAGGGUGCGUAGGCUGUGAGGUAAGUCAGCGGGGAAAUGCCCCCGGUCAACGGGGUGAAGUGCCAUUGAUACUGCGUGGCUGGAAUGCGGAUGCGGUGGGAGGAAUGUGUGGUGUAGCGGUGAAAUGCAUAGAUAUCACACAGAACACCGAUUGCGAAGGCAUCUCACGAGUCCGCGAUUGACGCUGAUGCACGAAAGCGUGGGUAUCAAACAGGAUUAGAUACCCUGGUAGUC